Molecule: long non-coding RNA, 3327 nt
Organism: Photinus pyralis (common eastern firefly)
Lineage: Eukaryota; Metazoa; Arthropoda; Insecta; Coleoptera; Lampyridae
Exons: 3
Source: RefSeq, a predicted model, not a curated record
AGCGUUUUGAUACUCGCGAAAGUACGGUUACAUUUAAUUUACAUACACAUUAAGAUUUUGAAAGUGAACACCGGGGAAUAUUCUUUUCGAUGCCCUCAAAGAGAUUGACCUUUACCCCACCCGCACCUGCAUUCACAGGUGUCCUUAGGAGCACCACCUGAGUACUGAUUCAAUGAUUAUUUCUGAAGAUUAAUAACCGUCUUGUUCACGAUGCCCAUACCGGAAAAAAAAUCAAGCACAACACAGGUGUUUGGUAUAUUUAUGUUGUCGAGAUUUUAACUUUAUGGGCAACGCUCCCAUUUUCCUAUCGCAGUCAGGUUUUGUGUUUUUUUUUCGAUGCUCACGGGAUUUUUGCAUUUUGCUAUUGUAUUAAGGUCAUUUGUACGUACCUUGUAACUAUUUUUAUUUAAAUUAAAUUACCUGAUACCUUGUAAUAUACAAAGUGCAGGUGUUUCUGGUUGAUGUAAAAGGUUAAACUCAUUGCCAAAACCGCGGCGUGAUUGCGGUACCUUUUCGCGAAGUUAACUUCGAGAAAAUAUACAUAUUUUGCUGCGAGACAUUUACGGCGUAUUGUUUUCGUUCGGAUAAUGGAUCUUACAUGCCUAGUUCAUGUCAAAAUUAAGUUGUAAACGUCGUAUGCCCAUUAACUUUCCAAUGUUCUUAGAUUAAAAUGAAAUUUAUGGUUCGAUUUUUGAUAACGCAACAAUUAUUAAGGUAAUUUAGAUUGUACUGCGCGUUUUUAUGGCGUGUUCGAAAAGUGGAACAAUCGUAUAUGUGUGAUUGCUCGGUUACCUACACAGUAAGGUGUUACUGAGGGAAUUUUAGAUGGAAGUUGCUUGUUCCAGAUAGCUUUAUCUCGUUAUGUAGGUAACCCUCUCUUGUCAUUUCGCUCAUUUGACGGCAAAUGUCAAAGACAACAUAAAGAAAACCAAGAUUAGUUUGACCAUUCACAGAUGAUUUUAAGAGAUUAAUUAUUAUUAAUCAUGGAUUAUAUCCCUACACCCCAGAAGCACAAUAAAUGAAAGCAAAACAAUGGUGAAGUCAACCAACGGUCCAAGUACUCAAAGGCCGUUCACUGGGAUGGAAAUGUGAUAGCUUCGGAUUUUGGGUGACAAAUGACUUUUGCUAAUCGAUAUUUACAUCUUUAGAUAAACUCAAAUGUCGUAUGCAAAAGUUAUGCACGUUUUACUUUCAGAAACCGCCCCUCGAAAGUCGUCUGGCACACCUUCAAGAUAUAAGCUACCUAUUGUAAAAAAUUUCAGGACUCUAGGAAAUUCACAAUUAAAUUCAUUUACUCCAAUUUAGUGAGAAAAUAUAGGCGCCAAGCUUACUAAUUCGAUGCAAGCUUCUUGUGGAAGUUGAAUUGAACUAAAGAAUAAAUGUUUAUGAACUAAGUUUCUUUACCAAAGGUACAUUAAUUCCUUCUAACUUUUGCUUAAUGUUUUUUUAUUUUCUCUAAAUGCGAGAACUGAUGUUUCUCUAGGAUUACGUUCUUAAACGCGGAAUUACACUCCCAUUAAUUCACUCGCGGUACAGUAACUUAAUGCGAAAGUUUUUUAUGUAUUUAUUUUGGAUAACGGAAAACUAUUUCCAUGAUUUCUAACCGGCGCGUCUUGGAUCUAUACUUAGUCCGUUAAUUCGUUGUUUGGGAGUCCGAUCGCGAAUCUUUUUUCCUUCCAAUAUGUUUAAAAAUCGCCGAAAUCUGUUGUCUUGGUCGUAGUUACGAUGCAAAUUUAUUCAAAUUUUCCAGAUCGUAAAACCCGUAAAACGAAUUACUUUUAAUUUUGUCACGCACUUUUCGACUCGGUGAUCUUAACGCUAAUCAUCUCAAAAUUCUCCAAAACCAAAACCCACUAUUCCUUAUCAAUUAACCACACCUACAAAAUGGUUUCUUGUUAACCAAGGUUGGGCAUAUUUAAUUGCUCAUUCGUCAAUCUAAUUCCGCCCUGCUAAUAAAAAAUGAUUUUACUAAUCCCAAGAUACCGUACGCUAUCACAGCGAGUUAACAUCGUAACGAGAUCUAAUUAAAAACAUGAAACAUGAUGUAAAGCCCACACUUUCUGUCUCUAUUGGCUUCCUAAAGUAAUUAAGAAACAAAGUCCCAUAGAAAAAUAAAUACGUAUUUAUCUGGAAAAUCCCACCCCUAAAUUUGGGCAAACUGGUAAAAUCUCGAUAAUGUGCUAUGUAUAAAUUACUCAAAUUUCAAAAACUCUAACUUUAUAUACCUUCACAACAAAAAUUAAAGGCAAAUUUAUAAGUACCGUUACUUUUGACACUUAAAGUGUCAAUCCAAAUUAAAUUAGCCACAAUAUCAGUGAAAACCUCACUUUGAUAUCUGUUUCCUAAGAGAUAUGGAUGAAACACGCACAUUCCCAAAUUUAAGUUGCACUAUUUAUAUUCUGGCUUUGAAACAAAAGAACACACAACAAGUGAUAAUUAAAAUUAACGCUCAAUAUAAGUUUUUAAUUUACGAACAAGAAAUUAUUGAAUCCUUAAAUCAGAAAUAAUAAAAGAAAGUAUUCCCUGUGGGUUCGGGGAUAGAAUUGGCCCACUCCCGCCCUGGAGAUCGUAAAAGGCGAUCAAUGAGCAGGGGAGACGACGAGUCCAAUCGCCCCCCCCCCCCUUGAACAGUAUCCUUUCCUCACCUUCCUUUUCCCACACAAUCCCGUGUAUCCUUCCUAAUUCAUUCCGCUGGCAGACGAUUUAAAUUGAUUAUGGAUUACGACGAAAUAAACUUCUUAGGGGUUCGGAUUGUCUCCAGGGGCGGCAGGGAGCGAGGUGGGCCUCACCAGGUCGAGAUCCAGCGACUGUUCUGUGCUUGUGAUGGGAGAGCAGACCACAUCACCUGUUCGACCUACUGGAAUAGACCCACGCAAUGACUAUGGCAAUUCCAAAGGCUAUGCACAACCACGACUGGUGCGGAUCGGGAUUUUACGACUGUCAGUCCCUUCUUAAUAGGUAAAACUUUACAUGGGUUAGUGGGCCAUCUUAAAGAUGUAAAAAAAUGAUAGAUAACCGCGUUUGAUCCCUUAAUGGAGCACACCUACGUUCACAAUCCCCUGAGAUGCUUUCAGUGUCAAGGGUUCGGGCACUCUACUGUUAAUUGUAAAUAGGAGAAAAGAUGCGUGUGUGGAAAACCACCUGUAACACCGACCCAGGUACCGGUACAAUAUUUUGUAUCUGAAAUACGAAAAAUUAUUAAGCAUGAAAUGGAACAACAGCGAUCCAUAUUUCAAAUUCCUGUACCUUUGAUGGAUAUUGAAACACAUGGCAACAGGAAGACAUUUCGAACAUCUUUAAAGCUUUAUUGUUCAUAAAUGAUAAAAA